AUUGAACGCUGGCGGCAUGCCUUACACAUGCAAGUCGAACGGUAACAGGUCUUCGGCUGCUGCCGAGUGGCGGACGGGUGCGUAAUACAUCGGAACGUACCCGAACCUGGGGUUUCACGAAGCAUAAGCUUUGCUAAUACACCAUACUAUCUCAGACGGACAACGGGUGACAGCAAGGCCUUGUGGGACCUGAGGGGCCUGUAGGAGCCGAUGUCGGAUUAGGUAGUUGGUGGGAUAAAGGCCCACCAAGGCGACGAUCCGUAGCUGGUCUGAGAGGACGAUCAGCCACACUGGAACUGAGACACGGCCCAGACUCCUACGGGAGGCAGCAGUGGGGAAUGUUGGACAAUGGGCGAAAGCCUGAUCCAGCCAUGCCGCGUGCAGGACGAAGGCCUUCGGGUUGUAAAGUGCUUUUGUACGGAAAGAAAAGAAGCUGGUUAAUACCUGGGGUUCAUGACGGUACCGGAAGAAUAAGCACCGGCUAACUACGUG
Molecule: ribosomal RNA, 492 nt
Filed under: uncultured bacterium
Lineage: Bacteria
Description: partial 16S ribosomal RNA
Rfam family: Bacterial small subunit ribosomal RNA
Source: RNAcentral